This 450-nucleotide ribosomal RNA is filed under the name uncultured bacterium. Its description in RNAcentral is "bacterial SSU rRNA". It matches the Rfam family "Bacterial small subunit ribosomal RNA", at positions 354 to 796 of the family's 1533-position model. The record is from RNAcentral.
GUGGGGAAUUUUGGACAAUGGGGGAAACCCUGAUCCAGCCAUUCCGCGUGAGUGAAGAAGGCCUUCGGGUUGUAAAGCUCUUUCAGCAGGAACGAAACGGUCGGCUUUAAUAAAGUCGGCUAAUGACGGUACCUGCAGAAGAAGCACCGGCUAACUACGUGCCAGCAGCCGCGGUAAUACGUAGGGUGCGAGCGUUAAUCGGAAUUACUGGGCGUAAAGCGUGCGCAGGCGGCGACAUAAGACAGAUGUGAAAUCCCCGGGCUCAACCUGGGAACUGCGUUUGUGACUGUGUUGCUAGAGUGUAGCAGAGGGGGGUGGAAUUCCACGUGUAGCAGUGAAAUGCGUAGAGAUGUGGAGGAACACCGAUGGCGAAGGCAGCCCCCUGGGUUAACACUGACGCUCAUGCACGAAAGCGUGGGGAGCAAACAGGAUUAGAAACCCGGGUAGUCC